This 429-nucleotide ribosomal RNA is filed under the name Chloroflexota bacterium. RNAcentral's name for it is "Chloroflexi bacterium partial 16S ribosomal RNA". It matches the Rfam family "Bacterial small subunit ribosomal RNA", at positions 355 to 776 of the family's 1533-position model. The record is from RNAcentral. Lineage: Bacteria; Bacillati; Chloroflexota.
UAGGGAAUCUUCGGCAAUGGACGAAAGUCUGACCGAGCAACGCCGCGUGAGUGAAGAAGGUUUUCGGAUCGUAAAACUCUGUUGUUAGAGAAGAACAAGGACGUUAGUAACUGAACGUCCCCUGACGGUAUCUAACCAGAAAGCCACGGCUAACUACGUGCCAGCAGCCGCGGUAAUACGUAGGUGGCAAGCGUUGUCCGGAUUUAUUGGGCGUAAAGCGAGCGCAGGCGGUUUCUUAAGUAUGAUGUGAAAGCCCCCGGCUCAACCGGGGAGGGUCAUUGGAAACUGGGAGGCUUGAGUGCGGAAGAGGAGAGUGGAAUUCCAUGUGUAGCGGUGAAAUGCGUAGAUAUAUGGAGGAACACCAGUGGCGAAGGCGGCUCACUGGUCUGUAACUGACGCUGAGGCUCGAAAGCGUGGGGAGCAAACAGG